RNAcentral lists this ribosomal RNA (253 nucleotides) under uncultured bacterium. RNAcentral describes it as "partial 16S ribosomal RNA". It matches the Rfam family "Bacterial small subunit ribosomal RNA", at positions 524 to 776 of the family's 1533-position model. The record is from RNAcentral.
UACGUAGGGUGCAAGCGUUAAUCGGAAUUACUGGGCGUAAAGCGUGCGCAGGCGGUUUUGUAAGUCAGAUGUGAAAUCCCCGGGCUUAACCUGGGAACUGCGUUUGAAACUACAAGGCUAGAGUGUGGCAGAGGGGGGUAGAAUUCCACGUGUAGCAGUGAAAUGCGUAGAGAUGUGGAGGAACACCGAUGGCGAAGGCAGCCCCCUGGGUCAAGACUGACGCUCAUGCACGAAAGCGUGGGGAGCAAACAGG